AGUGAACGCUGGCGGUAGGCCUAACACAUGCAAGUCGAACGGCAGCACAGUAAGAGCUUGCUCUUACGGGUGGCGAGUGGCGGACGGGUGAGGAAUACAUCGGAAUCUACUUUUUCGUGGGGGAUAACGUAGGGAAACUUACGCUAAUACCGCAUACGACCUACGGGUGAAAGCAGGGGAUGUUCGGACCUUGCGCGAUUGAAUGAGCCGAUGUCGGAUUAGCUAGUUGGCGGGGUAAAGGCCCACCAAGGCGACGAUCCGUAGCUGGUCUGAGAGGAUGAUCAGCCACACUGGAACUGAGACACGGUCCAGACUCCUACGGGAGGCAGCAGUGGGGAAUAUUGGACAAUGGGCGAAAGCCUGAUCCAGCCAUACCGCGUGGGUGAAGAAGGCCUUCGGGUUGUAAAGCCCUUUUGUUGGGAAAGAAAAGCAGCAGGUUAAUACCCCGCUGUUCUGACGGUACCCAAAGAAUAAGCACCGGCUAACUUCGUG
RNAcentral lists this ribosomal RNA (492 nucleotides) under uncultured bacterium. RNAcentral's name for it is "partial 16S ribosomal RNA". It matches the Rfam family "Bacterial small subunit ribosomal RNA", at positions 29 to 507 of the family's 1533-position model. The record is from RNAcentral.